Unclassified non-coding RNA from Macaca nemestrina (pig-tailed macaque), 258 nucleotides. Its record names the gene 7SK. It matches the Rfam family "7SK RNA". Rfam says of the family: 7SK was discovered as an abundant small nuclear RNA in the mid-70s but a possible function has only recently been suggested. The record is from Ensembl. NCBI's taxonomy places the organism in Eukaryota, Metazoa, Chordata, Mammalia, Primates, Cercopithecidae.
GGAAGGAGGGUGAUGUGAUUGAGAUGGUAUCACUGGACCGGUCUGGUUGGCUGGAUGGGAUCUUCUCCCUCUCUCAUUUCCAUAUGUCUUCCUCUACAGCUUUGCGAGGAGUCUGUGGAAGGAGAGGUCAUUUCCCAAAGAAGAGGGCCAUACCUGGGUCAAGGAUGGAGAGGUCCAUGCAGUCCUGUACUGAAAUCACAAGGCAAUCUCUCACCUAAAGUGCUUCAAGAGCCUCUGGCUGGUCUCUCUGAAGCCACU